UAAAAGAUAAGCUAAAGAAGCUAGUGGGCUCAUAUCUCAUUUAUGAUCAAUUCUCUUUUGA
This 61-nucleotide transfer RNA is filed under the name Metacrangonyx dominicanus. RNAcentral's name for it is "transfer RNA Methionine". The record is from RNAcentral. Lineage: Eukaryota; Metazoa; Arthropoda; Malacostraca; Amphipoda; Metacrangonyctidae.